RNAcentral lists this microRNA precursor (125 nucleotides) under Brassica carinata (Ethiopian mustard). RNAcentral's name for it is "MIR9563 microRNA precursor family". It matches the Rfam family "MIR9563 microRNA precursor family". The record is from Rfam by way of RNAcentral. RNAcentral also lists the same sequence under 1 other name. Lineage: Eukaryota; Viridiplantae; Streptophyta; Magnoliopsida; Brassicales; Brassicaceae.
GGAAUAUAAGAACUUGUCUCUUAACUUUUAACUAAAAAAGUUAAGAACCGGUUCUUAAAUAAGAGUUUUAAGAGCCGGUUCUUAAUUUUUUUAGUUAAAAGUUAAGAGACAGGUUCUUAUAUUCC